Molecule: long non-coding RNA, 301 nt
Organism: Bombina bombina (fire-bellied toad)
Lineage: Eukaryota; Metazoa; Chordata; Amphibia; Anura; Bombinatoridae
Exons: 3
Source: RefSeq, a predicted model, not a curated record
CUAACUCAAAUUUAGAAGCUGGUUUUAAGUUAUCAAUGCUGACAAUUCUGUCUUUUCCUUGUUUGUCUUCUAUAAUCAAAGUCCUUAGGUUAAUGACAUGUUUUACCUUUGUAGGUUUCCACCUUGGCCAUAAAGGUUUCGCUGCUUGAACUCUUUCCUGGACAAACUGACCAACCUGUGGUGUCCAAGCUCAUAAAAGAUUUUAUCUCCCUUGAGACUGCAGCAUGCAGAGGUGCAAUUAACACAAUGAAAUCGGGUAUGAAAAACAUUGCAUAAGUGGCAAAGACUCGCUACAGGACCC